This 28-nucleotide non-coding RNA is filed under the name Homo sapiens (human). The record is from RNAcentral. Lineage: Eukaryota; Metazoa; Chordata; Mammalia; Primates; Hominidae.
UNGCAUGGUACUUGAUACGUAAUAAGAG